Molecule: ribosomal RNA, 421 nt
Filed under: uncultured bacterium
Lineage: Bacteria
Description: partial 16S ribosomal RNA
Rfam family: Bacterial small subunit ribosomal RNA
Source: RNAcentral
AAUAUGGGACAAUGGGCGAAAGCCUGAUCCAGCCAUGCCGCGUGUGUGAAGAAGGUCUUCGGAUUGUAAAGCACUUUAGGUUGGGAGGAAGGGCAGUAAGUUAAUACCUUGCUGUUUUGGCUAUACCGACAGAAUAAGCACCGGCCAACUUCGUGCCAGCAGCCGCGGUAAUACAGAGGGUGCAAGCGUUAAUCGGAAUUACUGGGCGUAAAGCGCGCGUAGGUGGUUCAGUAAGAUGGGUGUGAAAUCCCCGGGCUUAACCUGGGAACUGCUUUCAUAACUGGCAAGCUAGAGUAUGGCAGAGGGUGGUGGAAUUUCCUGUGUAGCGGUGAAAUGCGUAGAUAUAGGAAGGAACAUCAGUGGCGAAGGCGACCACCUGGGCUAAUACUGACACUGAGGUGCGAAAGCAUGGGGAGCAAAC